This 260-nucleotide long non-coding RNA is filed under the name Anas platyrhynchos platyrhynchos (common mallard). RNAcentral describes it as "lncRNA (ENSAPLG00000017733.1)". Lineage: Eukaryota; Metazoa; Chordata; Aves; Anseriformes; Anatidae. The record is from RNAcentral.
UCCUGGUUUGAGCAGAGACUCUGAAUUCCCAGUAUAAUCAAGUCAGGGGUUUAAUGAAUGAAGAAUGGACCAUUAUAAAUUAUCUUUGAAAUUGGCCUUCUAAAAUAAACUACUGAAUAUUAUUGAAAUUAACAGUUCUACUCAGGACUAAAAUUUACCAGGACACUUUCAGCUCAGCCAACUACAUCCAGUAUGUCCUGUGGCCAGGAAGAAAAGGAAAUUUCUUAAACUAUAUGAAGAAGUACCAUCUCUAAAGAAGU